GCCCGGGUGGCGGAAUAGGCAGACGCACGGGACUUAAAAUCCCGCGCCCCCAAAGGGCGUGCCGGUUCGACCCCGGCCUCGGGCACCA
This 88-nucleotide transfer RNA is filed under the name Syntrophomonadaceae bacterium. Its description in RNAcentral is "tRNA-Leu". It matches the Rfam family "tRNA". From Rfam's summary of the family: Transfer RNA (tRNA) molecules are approximately 80 nucleotides in length. Their secondary structure includes four short double-helical elements and three loops (D, anti-codon, and T loops). The record is from RNAcentral. Lineage: Bacteria; Bacillati; Bacillota; Clostridia; Eubacteriales; Syntrophomonadaceae.